Molecule: long non-coding RNA, 626 nt
Organism: Asparagus officinalis (garden asparagus)
Lineage: Eukaryota; Viridiplantae; Streptophyta; Magnoliopsida; Asparagales; Asparagaceae
Exons: 3
Source: RefSeq, a predicted model, not a curated record
UUUAAAAAAAAUUAAACCCGUCAAAACCUCCAGCCGCCCUCCUUUCCGCCCAAAAUGGAAAAUUUCAUCCCAAAAUCGAAGGCUUUCGUCUCUGUCAUGGAGAUCGGGUCCUGCAUCCUCUUGCUCGUUCUUCGCGUCGAAGAAUCCGAUGAUCCAUGGCGAUCGAUCUGAAGAGUCGAAGAUUGACGUGGAUUUUCCCAUGACGAGGUUGAUUGAUGCGGGGCUUAUUGGAUCUGCAAGAGGGUCACUUGGUUGCCAAGGCAUCAACAUUCCCUUCAGGCAUAAAAGCUCUUGCAGAUUAUGUGCCUGACAAAGGGCUAAAGCUUGGAAUUUACAGUGAUGCUGGAAUGAUGAGGAAGAACGUGAAGAAGGAGAAGAAGACGGUUUGAGUAAAUGUAUAGGGAAGGAGUUGAAGAAGCUUCUGCAGUGUCAUAGCCAUUGUAAAUAAUUUAUGUAAAAGUUUGUAAACAAUUUAUGUAUCUCUCUACUAUUUUGGUGAAUGUAUUAUUUGAAUAUAAUUGGAUUUGAUAUUGGAAUAUAAUUAGAUUGUGUUGGAUAUGAAUAUAAUUUUUUGUUGUUCAAUAUUGUGUACAUGCACUCAAAGUAGAUUCUGCAAAAAAAAAAAA